This 366-nucleotide ribosomal RNA is filed under the name Triticum aestivum (bread wheat). RNAcentral's name for it is "partial small subunit ribosomal RNA". Lineage: Eukaryota; Viridiplantae; Streptophyta; Magnoliopsida; Poales; Poaceae. The record is from RNAcentral.
AUGACCCAAGUUAACAAGAUUGGCAGAGGUUCUAUCUCAUACACUAAAUCUGUCAUCGAACCCAUCAUAGGUGCAUUGCAAGGGUUGAUAAUUGUUGUCAAUUCAGAAGGGGGAUUUGCCUCAUUGAAGAUACAGAUAAAAGUUUUUCUGACCUCAUAUCGAUUCUUACUUCCAUUCCUCAUGUGUCCUAUGUCUCACGUCUCUUACACGGGCAGAACGACCUGGGCCGUAGAUUAUACGGUGAACGAGGGCGGUGGCAGCACUAGAGUGAGGCAUGGCUGGUUGAGGAAUAAUUUAUUUAAAUCAUUUACUUACAGACUAAUGUUCGCUAUGCUUCUUUUAGUGAACGCUUGUAAUUUUGUUUGA